UUGUUCAUUUGUGCUUCCCACGCUUGGUACUUCUUUCUAACAGACUGGCACUCUGCCCGCAGGCCAAAUUUACCUCAGUCAGCCUUUUCUACCCCGCCAUUUGUUUUAAUUGCACAGUCGUACAUGACAGAGCAAAUGGCAGACAGGUACCUGUAAUCAAACAGUCCGGAGAAUUUAAGCACAUUCGUUCCUUCCCGGAGCAUUCAGUGAGCCCUGACAAUAGGUAAUUUAAAUUCUGGACAACGAGUUUGCAAGCUGCUUCAUUGGCUACGUUUGGAGAAGAGCGGAAAAAAACCCUGGCCCUUUGAUAAUUAGACUGAAUCAGUUUUCAUAAUUCUACUCUACUCACCAGAGUGGUUAGCAAACUUCAUUAUCGGCGGCUUGAUGAGAUAGCUUUCUGCAUGUAAUAUAGAUUUGGCCAGUAAUUUCUUUUUCUGCGAGGAGGAGGCUAAGGCCGUGCCACCAUGGAAGUGUUUCUGAGAUGAGACGGUCUUACAGUUUCGUCAUUGUAAAUAAUUUCAAAGUGGGUGCAGGAUAAAGCAUACAAUUAGUGUUUUGUCUCUGUGAGUGUUUGACCCAGAGAAAGGACAGUGGAUGGUCACAGUUGAAAGCAGCCACCGCAGACUGGUGUAACCUCGCCAGCCUGCAUCUGCUGAGAUUGUAAAUUGAUAUCUUUUCUUUUGCUCUGUGUCUCUGGAACAUUGCCAGUAGCCAAAACCAUGCUCCGUAAUUAAGGGGGAACAUAUCUUUAAGAAAUUUCCAGAAAAAAAGCUGUGUGGCUGAUCUGUCAAGGACUCAGAGCAGCUUGGGUUUCAUCUCUUUGUAAUAGCCAUAAAUUACACUUUGUACAUCUCUCUAACCCAUAAUAGCCUGCAAGCUCCGUCAAGGCAGAGAUGAUUUCCGUCUUUGCUUCUGAAUUCUCAGCACACACAAGAGGCAUAUUGUUGGCUGGGCAAUUGACUGACGUGGAUGAAUACAGUUCUAUAUUGAUAUAUGUUCAAGUUUUGUCUUCUGCCCUCAGCCUGACUCUGUUCUGAGUUAGGACUCUGCAGUUUGUCUGAGACCACACUGCGGUUCAGUUACUAUGGCUGUGGGAUAAACUACCUCAGAGAGGAGUGUGCCGUGUGUAUGUAUGUGCUCGUGCGUGUGUGCGAUGGCCCACAUGAGGAGGUCAGGGUCAGCUUAAAGGAAUGGAUUCUCUCCUUACUCCAUGUGGGCAUCAGGCUUGUCGGCAAGCACCUUUAUAUAUAUCUACUGAGUCAUCUUAGUGACGCCAUGUUUGCUCUUGUUGGGAAUGUUUGGCAGAUUUAUACCUAUCCUAGGAACCCUGAACAUUGUGGGCCAGUUGACCUGGCCCUCGCUGUCUCUUCCUAGCUGUAUGCACUCUUCUAGUUGCCUCUGGAGCAUUUUGGCCUCAGGAUAACUUGGAUUCUUUUUUAAUGUGGCAGCCCAGAACUCUAGUAUUUUUUCCUAAGAGGAAAGAAAAGUGUAAUAGAAAUGAAGAUGCUCAAAGAGGAGACGGAGUUAAACGGGCAAGGGAUAGAAGAGACGAGAGAUGAGGGAGUAUGGUGCGUGUGGUAGGAAAAACAACACACACUGGAGGAGUAAAGAGGGGGAGGCACUCUGAGAUGGGUCUUAAACCAUGCCAUGCUGGAUUUGAGACUCAGGGACCUGGUGGAUAGUAAAUGUAGGGGAGGCUUGCUCUGACUUCCUAUGUCUGCCGAAAGACAAUCUUCUGAAAAAGACCCAACGGUCAUAAAUCUCCUCCCUGGGGCUCCUGUCCAGUAGGGAGGAGUAGAUCCCGGUAUAUGAGGGAAGAAUGGAGGGCACCAUCCCCAGGUAGGGGUCCCCUGUCACAGGCAGGGUCCCCUGUCCACGGGAGAGUCCACUCACUGUUUCCUCAGAUCUCUUACUUUCCUUAUAUAAGUGUUUCUUUGCUGUGUCAAAGUAAUCCAGAGCCCUUAAAAGAAGAAAGCUGUGUCCUUUGUCUCCUUCAUUCCAGUCUGUGGCUGUUUGUUCUUGUUGCCUUGGGCCUGUGCUAGGCAGGGCCUCAUGGUGAAGGGCAAGGGGUGACUCAACUCUAAUCUACUCAUCUUGCUUUGGCCAGGAAGCAAAGAGGGUAAAGGGAGGAGAGAGAGAGAAACAGAGAAACAGAGACAGACAGAGACAGACAGACAGACAGACAGACAGACACACACACACACACACACACACACACACACACACAUGGAGACAGAGACAUAUACAGACACACACACACACAGAUAGAGAGAGACAGAGACUGCAUCUCUGAAUGAUUUUACCCUCUCCCAGUGGUACUAUAGGUCAGAGACCAAGCCUUUAGUGAGUAGACUAUUGGGGAACAUUCAAAAUGUGAACCAUAACAUAUCCCUAACUGCUUGCAUUUCUCUUUCCCUGUUCUCUCUCUCUCUCUCUCUCUCUCUCUCUCUCUCUCUCUCUCUCUCUCUCUCACCAAAUGAUUUUUUCUUUCACAUAACAUUUGUAACAUAUCUGUAUACAUUUUCUUCUCCUACCUUUCUUCUGUCUUGUUUUAGUUUAUUUUACAGACUCAGUUAUUAAAGCCUUAAAAAUCGAGGGACAGGGCUGGGGAUUUAGCUCAGUGGUAGAGCGCUUACCUAGGAAGCGCAAGGCCCUGGGUUCGGUCCCCGGCUCCCAAAAAAAAAAAAAAAUCGAGGGACAGUCUUUCCUUUAUGAUGGAGAAAAGGUUAAUAUUGAAGAAAUGAAGGCUUAGGUUAAACUGUUUUUUUUUUUUCCCUGUACAGUAGUAGAAAGCUUUUUAUAAAAGGUACGUGUUUUACAUUACUCAAAAAAUAUCAGACACAGCACAGGCUCUCAGUUGAAAGGCUGGUAUCAUCAAUAAUGCCAGCCAUUUGUGCCUCUUGAAAUCCUACACCAUAUAUAGUCAGGAAUACAGGAACGAUUCUUGAUGCUCGUGGCAAGAUGACCCUGGUACCCAGGUCCACUUGUGGGAUGUUUGAGAAGUCUCUGGAAGGAUCCAGGCUUCGGCACUGGAACCUGUGUAAGUCUCUUGCGGUCUUCUAACCAUCAGCUUGUUCCAAUGGCCUUCAAAGACCAAAGUGCCGAGAGGCUAGCCCUCUGCAUUCUGCAACGGUCUAGCUAAUUUCGAGUAUUGCCUCUAGACGGUUCUGCCCAGAUGUCCUCUGGGACGAUAACUGAGCAUUUAUGAUUGUGUCUAAAUGGAGCCCUCUAGGUCUGACCUCUAGGGUAAUUCAUUCAGGAAUGUGGGGGUAUGUGUGUAAACAAGCAAGGUUCCUCCUCCCCUUUUCUGGAAGCUUUGCUUUAUGGCCUUGGCACCAAGACUUGCUGGGAGGGAAUAAAUACUACUCAUUCCUUCCUAGACAAGUACAAAUAGAUGAGGAGAUUACAUGGCACACUCAAUAAAUAUUCGUGUCAUGUAUGUAAAGUACCUUUUGCUGCUGAACACAACCCACAAGGAGGAACCAACAAAACGGUUCUCGAGAAAGUUGGCUUGCUUUUCUUGUCUCAGUGAGUGUAGGGCAUGUUUCACGGAUGCAAAAAACAUAUUUCCUCGGCGAAGGAGAUGUUCACACUUUAAAAUCGAGGAGAGUGCAAAUGAGAUUUUUUUUUUCUUAAUUGGUUUCAGUACAGGAGGAGGAAAUGCUUUUGCAGAUUUGUGAGUUUUCUGGCUUUCCUUUUGGUUUGUUUGUUCCUUCCUUUUUGAACUUGUAAUUAUGAGGAGCUUCUUCUCAGCCCCUGAAAGUGGGUCAGCUGUGGGUAAAGCAAUCAUGUCAGUAUUUCUGAACCCCGAUCAUCUCCAAGAGGCACCGAGGAGCCUGUCAUUCUUGGUUAGUUCAGGUGAUGUGACUCUACACUAAGCCCUGUUGCCAUCUGCACAUCCUUCAAGUGUGGUGGCACUGUGCAGGGCUCUGGUGAAGUGUCAGAGCUGGGGAGGUGUCCCAGAGGGUAAGAUCACUUCCUUUUCAAGCACAAAGCCCUGAAUUGAAAUCCUCAUGUAAGAAGUCAGGAGUGGUGAAGUCCGUGCCCAUAGCCUGUCAAUGGCGGAGACAGGAUUGCUGGUGUGUGUUGGCCACUACCUUAGCUCCACAUUCAGUGAAAAAGACCCUGCCUCAAGGGAAUAAAGGUGAGAAUGAGAGAACAAAGUACCCGGCAUCAUCUUCUCAUGGCUGUGUGCAUGUGCAUGCACGGGCACACACACUUAACACACAUGUGCAUGCAAAUUCAAAAGGAGUAUAUGUUAGAACGUUUUCCUUCUAGCUCGUUCCUUAAUUAAUUGUAUAAGCUUUGGCCAAGGUCUAUAAACCACAGGCUUCUUUUCUCUAAAUAGAAGUGAUGAGAGCAUCUCUCUGUGAGGUCAAGGAUAGCACAGAGAGGAGCGGGAAAGAGUAUGAACACGAGGUUGGAUUGGGUUGUCCCGUGUUUACACCUCUGUUCCCUGUCAGCUACAGAAUCACUGACUAAGCUGUUAACCUCUUGGCCCUAACUUUCCAACAUGGAGGACAGAACCAACCAGGACCUGGCUCAUGGAGAUGCUAUAAUAGUUUAACAAGUGGUAAACUAUUAUAGUUAAUGUGGAGAAUCCAGCAAGCCCAAGAAGGAGGUUGGAAGAGGUGUGGCUGUGCAAGCCUGUACUGGGGAUUAUCCCAGUGGCAGACGACUCAGCCUGUUGCUCUUCCAGAAUCUGUUCAACUAUUUUUCAUGCCAGGACAAGAGUUAAAAUGAUUUUUUUGAUUGUUUACUGCCUUACCACACAAAACAACCAAUCAAAAUAAGCCAGACCUUAGCGUUGCUGUCAUACAAACACAGUUCCUGUCCAGAAUCAAGUAUCGGCCAGUCAAAACUGAGACGAUUCAGUCCUUUGUAUGGUGAGGACCAAAAGGAGGGCAGAUGCCACAUUAAGUCACAUGGUUCAGCAUCUCCAGAUAGGUUAUUCCACCAUGCCUGUCCCCGAUGCUGUCUUCCAGUGAACUCAACUAGUAAGCUAGUGUUUUUCUGUCCUGAUGUGACGUUGUGGACUCUUUUGCCACACUUAAGGUAAGGCUUAUGGUUCAGCAGAGCUCAGAAACUAUCAGUCCUGUUGGAAACAGAAACGAAGGUCAGUAUGGAAAAAAGUUGGCGGGACUUUAGGGAGAAUAAAUGACACAGAUACAAGAUAUUCAAGAUACAAGAUUAUUUUGUAUGGUAUUUUGAGUUCUUAGACAGGUUCCUUGGAUGGGUGUCUAUAUUGUCUGUGAAGAUUGAUAGUCACUAGAGAAUGAAUCCUUUAAUCUUAAGAUAGUGUGUUUUGGUUAUUUAUUGCCAAUUAAAUCACUUGCCAAUUUCACUGAUAAAAAUACCAGUUCUUUGGGUUAACUAGGCAAUUUUUGCUUCCUGUGAUGGAGGGAUUUGAUUGGGGGAUAAGUUGAGGGAGUCAUUUAGCAUGGCAGGCAGUUUGUAUUAGCUGUUGACAGGGAACAUAGAAGGGAUGGCCCACUCUCAAGUCUUUGUCCCACAUAUUUCCUCUGUGUGGUUUUAGUUUCUCACAGUACAUGCUUAGGUUCCAAGAGAUAGGUUCCAGAGAAUGGGAAUAGCCAGCUCUCCUAAUCCCCAGGCUCAGAGUUUUAUAGUAUUCCGACAAUUUGAUGUGAGCAAAGUCAAAGGUUUCUCAUGCUACAUUAAAAACAUCAGGGCGGGGCUGGGGAUUUAGCUCAGUGGUAGAGCGCUUACCUAGGAAGCGCAAGGUCCUGGGUUCGGUCCCCAGCUCCGGAAAAAAGAACAAAAAAAAAAAAAACAAAAAAAAACAAACAUCAGGGCAUGCUUUUAUGUGAGAAGUGAAGACAAAUGUAACAGAAUAUUCUGGGAACGAUUGGUCUUUCCGGCUCCUCAUUAUAGAUUCAUUGGCUGUGUAUGGUGAAGGAACCUUGUGAGGGCAGCUGAAAUUCAAAUGACCUGUCCAUAUACCUCCUACAGAGUGUGGCCUGUAUUCUAUAGGUAGUUAUUGGAGACUGUCGCUCAUCUUUUCUGGUUGGAAUAUUUUAGUAGCAUCUGCAAGACAUUAUUUAGAAAAAGGCCACCACCUUUGGCUCUGGCAUGUAUUAAUUAGCAACAAAAGCAGUUUGUGUUUAAUUUAAUGAUAGCGGAAGGCUUGUUGCACACAUUGGUGAUAUGCCACGAAGUGAAGGAUUUCUGGGCAGAUUUUCUCUUCAUGUCUUUUGUCUUUCACAGCUGUCGUUGAGUGUGGUUUUUGGAGAUCAUAACUCUCCCUUUUCAAUGACACAUUUUUAAAAUUGCAUUUGUUUGUCUACCUUGUGGGUUUGUAGGUAGGCACUCAUGCCAUGGUGCAUAUCUUGAGGCAGAAGAUAGCCUGUGUGUGGGCUUGAGUCAUUUCGCAGUAGGGGCCAUGGGGAUUGAACUCAGGUCGUCAGUACUGGUCCCAGACUUGUGCCAAGAGUCUUUAUUGGCUGAGCAUUUUGCCAGCCCACUCUUCUCUUUUCAUUUCAUCUUUCCCCCCGCAGUGCAGUCAAUGUUGUAUUUGGAGUUUAUUUAUUUUCAUCUUGCAUGCUUUUAUUUUUGCACUGUGUAAACACUUUUGGAGGUCCAAUCAAUCCCACCUCAUUUCAAUGGUUGGCAGCCUGAUGACUGGGUCACUGUGUGGUUGUGUUUUCUCCCAUAGUAAUCUCAGAAGCUUCCCCCAAGAUACUAAUAUGUCACUGAGGUACUGAUCCACAGAAAGAGGAAAUACAACUUGUAUUCUUAAAAGUUGCUAAACGUUGAGAAAAAUUUGACGAAUAAUUGGUGAGAGAAUGGUUUGAAACCUGGGGCAGUAAGACCCAACUAUGAUUAUCAGAAUAGCUGCCUACAAUAGAACCGAGGACCAGAGUACAAAAUGUCUUUGUAUUUAAGAAGUCUUAAUUGAUUAUGUUAUUUUUUAAAAUAUUUAUUUAUUAUGAUCAUGUGUGUGCAAUAUGUUUGAGUGUGGACAUGUGUGCCACAUGCCUGUGGAAGUCAGAGGACAGCCAGCCCUGUGCAGUUGGUUCUGUCCCUUUUUGAUCUGGAGGCGGAAUUCAGGUCAUCAGGCCCUUGUACUUUAUGAGCAUCUCACCGGACAAGAAGAGUGGUUUUAAAGUGCCAAAUGGAAGACGCUGGCUAUGGACAGAUAAGAAUAAAGGAAUGGGAAACAACCAAAGGAUGGAUGGAACAUUUCUAAGUGACAUUGAUCACACAGUGAUGGAAUAUUAGGAAACAGCCCGAUUGGCUCAUGUCAGAUGACUUCACACCAUUUCUAUGUAAUAUUGAAAGACAUUUUGCAUCGAUUACUACUGUACUUCGUUCUUCCAAACAAGAACAGAGUUCUUAUGAGUGAACAGGUCUGCAGCUGCUGAUUCGUGUGUGGUGUUUGCUACUGGACUGGACUGAGAACAACCAAGAUUGGAAUUGCCCCAAAGGACUAUGUCUAAACAGAAGAACAGAGCUCUUACGAUAAGCUGGGGACCGAACCCAGGGCCUUGUGCUUAACUUUUCCUUUUCAAAGCAAAAGUUUUGUGUUGACAUUUAUGUCCUUAAUGCGUCUGGAGUUGGGCUUGGCAGAUGAUGUGAUGAAGAAAUCCAAGUCUUCCCGGACUACAAGUAUAUCUGCUUAUUGCUCCACUUACUUAUUUUUAUUUUUAAAUUAAAAUUUUAUUUAUGUC
This is a non-coding RNA of Rattus norvegicus (Norway rat), 7688 nucleotides long. The record is from RefSeq and is a predicted model, not a curated record. Lineage: Eukaryota; Metazoa; Chordata; Mammalia; Rodentia; Muridae.